GGGAGAACGGUCUAUUCCACUC
This 22-nucleotide non-coding RNA is filed under the name Arabidopsis thaliana (thale cress). Lineage: Eukaryota; Viridiplantae; Streptophyta; Magnoliopsida; Brassicales; Brassicaceae. The record is from RNAcentral.